This 513-nucleotide ribosomal RNA is filed under the name uncultured bacterium. RNAcentral's name for it is "partial 16S ribosomal RNA". It matches the Rfam family "Bacterial small subunit ribosomal RNA", at positions 28 to 507 of the family's 1533-position model. The record is from RNAcentral.
GACGAACGCUGGCGGCGUGCUUAACACAUGCAAGUCGAACGAAAAGAGGGAAAGAGCUUGCUCUUUCCGGAAUUGAGUGGCAAACGGGUGAGUAACACGUAAACAACCUGCCUUCAGGAUGGGGACAACAGACGGAAACGACUGCUAAUACCGAAUAAGUUCCAAGAGCCGCAUGGCCCAUGGAAGAAAAGGUGGCCUCUACCUGUAAGCUAUCGCCUGAAGAGGGGUUUGCGUCUGAUUAGCUGGUUGGAGGGGUAACGGCCCACCAAGGCGACGAUCAGUAGCCGGUCUGAGAGGAUGAACGGCCAAACUGGACCUGAGACACGGUCCAGAAUACUACGGGAGGCAGAAGUGGGGAAUCUUCAGCAAUGGGAGAAAGCCUGACGGAGCAACGCCGCGUGAGUGAUGACGGCCUUCGGGUUGUAAAACUCUGUGAUCCGGGACGAAAAGGCAGAGUGCGAAGAACAAACUGCAUUGACGGUACCGGAAAAGCAAGCCACGGCUAACUACGUG